GGCGUAAGCGCGCGCAGGCGGUCNUUUAAGUCUGAUGUGAAAGCCCACGGCUCAACCGUGGAGGGUCAUUGGAAACUGGGGGACUUGAGUGCAGAAGAGGAAAGUGGAAUUCCAAGUGUAGCGGUGAAAUGCGUAGAGAUUUGGAGGAACACCAGUGGCGAAGGCGACUUUCUGGUCUGUAACUGACGCUGAGGCGCGAAAGCGUGGGGAGCAAACAGGAUUAGAUACCCUGGUAGUCCACGCCGUAAACGAUGAGUGCUAAGUGUUAGGGGGUUUCCGCCCCUUAGUGCUGCAGCUAACGCAUUAAGCACUCCGCCUGGGGAGUACGGUCGCAAGACUGAAACUCAAAGGAAUUGACGGGGGCCCGCACAAGCGGUGGAGCAUGUGGUUUAAUUUGAAGCAACGCGAAGAACCUUACCAGGUCUUGACAUCCCGUUGACCACUGUAGAGAUAUAGUUUCCCCUUCGGGGGCAACGGUGACAGGUGGUGCAUGGUUGUCGUCAGCUCGUGUCGUGAGAUGUUGGGUUAAGUCCCGCAACGAGCGCAACCCUUGAUCUUAGUUGCCAUCAUUUAGUUGGGCACUCUAAGGUGACUGCCGGUGACAAACCGGAGGAAGGUGGGGAUGACGUCAAAUCAUCAUGCCCCUUAUGACCUGGGCUACACACGUGCUACAAUGGACGAUACAAACGGUUGCCAACUCGCGAGAGGGAGCUAAUCCGAUAAAGUCGUUCUCAGUUCGGAUUGUAGGCUGCAACUCGCCUACAUGAAGCCGGAAUCGCUAGUAAUCGCGGAUCAGCAUGCC
Molecule: ribosomal RNA, 802 nt
Filed under: Lysinibacillus sp. HKG 155
Lineage: Bacteria; Bacillati; Bacillota; Bacilli; Caryophanales; Bacillaceae
Description: bacterial SSU rRNA
Rfam family: Bacterial small subunit ribosomal RNA
Source: RNAcentral